UACAGAGGGUGCGAGCGUUAAUCGGAAUUACUGGGCGUAAAGGGUGCGUAGGCGGUUUUUUAAGUUAGAUGUGAAAUCCCCGGGCUUAACCUGGGAAUUGCAUUUAAGACUGGAGAGCUAGAGUAGAGUAGAGGGAAGUGGAAUUUCCGGUGUAGCGGUGAAAUGCGUAGAUAUCGGAAAGAACAUCAGUGGCGAAGGCGGCUUCCUGGACUCAUACUGACGCUGAGGCACGAAAGCAUGGGGAGCAAACAGG
This 253-nucleotide ribosomal RNA is filed under the name uncultured bacterium. Its description in RNAcentral is "partial 16S ribosomal RNA". It matches the Rfam family "Bacterial small subunit ribosomal RNA", at positions 524 to 776 of the family's 1533-position model. The record is from RNAcentral.